GAUUGGUCCAAGUGCAGUGGUAUUUACAACUAAUUGAUCACAACAGUUAUAAAUUCCUUUGUUCCUUCUCCAGUCCCACCUGCUUCACUUGACCAGCUUUUA
RNAcentral lists this Y RNA (102 nucleotides) under Propithecus coquereli (Coquerel's sifaka). RNAcentral's name for it is "Y RNA (ENSPCOG00000003217.1)". It matches the Rfam family "Y RNA". From Rfam's summary of the family: Y RNAs are components of the Ro ribonucleoprotein particle (Ro RNP), in association with Ro60 and La proteins. The Y RNAs and Ro60 and La proteins are well conserved, but the function of the Ro RNP is not known. Lineage: Eukaryota; Metazoa; Chordata; Mammalia; Primates; Indriidae. The record is from Rfam by way of RNAcentral.